RNAcentral lists this ribosomal RNA (782 nucleotides) under uncultured Neocallimastigales. Its description in RNAcentral is "partial large subunit ribosomal RNA". It matches the Rfam family "Eukaryotic large subunit ribosomal RNA", at positions 22 to 634 of the family's 3401-position model. The record is from RNAcentral. Lineage: Eukaryota; Fungi; Neocallimastigomycota; Neocallimastigomycetes; Neocallimastigales.
UCAUAGCGACUAUCGUGGCAUAUCAAUAAGCGGAGGAAAAGAAACUAACAAGGAUUCCCUUAGUAACGGCGAGUGAAGCGGGAAGAGCUCAAAUUUGAAAUCUUCAAGGUUUUACCUUGACGAAUUGUAGUUUAAUAGAAGUGUUUUCUGUUAGUGAAGUUGGCUAAAAGUUCUUUGGAAUAGGACAUCAUAGAGGGUGAGAAUCCCGUAUUUGACCAUUACUUUUCCAGCUGUGUGAUACACUUUCAAAGAGUCGGAUUGUUUGGGAAUGCAGUCCAAAAUGGGUGGUAAAUUUCAUCUAAAGCUAAAUAUUGGCGAGAGACCGAUAGCGAACAAGUACCAGUGAGGGAAAGAUGAAAAGAACUUUGAAAGAGAGAGUUAAACAGUACGUGAAAUUGUCAAAAGGGAAGCGCUUGACACCAGUGUUGUUUUCUCGAAAAUCAAUUAAAAAUGGCUGGAUUUUGUGUUGUAUUGACCUUAAAAGCUUUCUUCACUUUUUUCAUGUCUUUUUUAAUGCACUUUUCGUUUAACAAGUCAACAUCAGUUUCUUUUGUUGUAAAAAGGUCAUUGGAAGGUGGCUUUCACUUCGGUGAAAGUGUUUAUAGCCUUUGGCUUCUACAAUCGGAGAGAUUGAGGUCUGCAGCGUAGAUCCUUCGGGGUUAGAUACGUAGAUGCUAAGUUAUAGUUUUUUAUAGACAACUUGUUGACUAUGAUUAAUCAUGUAGCUUACUCGUUUGCGCUAUUUUACCUACGCUUAGGAUGUUGAUAUGCAUGACUGAUAU